GUCAGUGUGGUGUAGCGGUUUGAGUGUUGGACUGAGACUCAGGAGUCAAGGGUUCGAUUCCUCACUCAGCCA
Phrynosoma platyrhinos (Desert horned lizard) is the source of this 72-nucleotide non-coding RNA. NCBI's taxonomy places the organism in Eukaryota, Metazoa, Chordata, Lepidosauria, Squamata, Phrynosomatidae. The record is from the annotation of a GenBank genome assembly.